This 466-nucleotide ribosomal RNA is filed under the name uncultured bacterium. Its description in RNAcentral is "partial 16S ribosomal RNA". It matches the Rfam family "Bacterial small subunit ribosomal RNA", at positions 28 to 505 of the family's 1533-position model. The record is from RNAcentral.
GACGAACGCUGGCGGCGUGCUUAACACAUGCAAGUCGAACGGAAAGGCCCUGCUUUUGUGGGGUGCUCGAGUGGCGAACGGGUGAGUAACGCGUGAGUAACCUGCCCUUGACUUUGGGAUAACUUCAGGAAACUGGGGCUAAUACCGGAUAGGAGCUCCUGCUGCAUGGUGGGGGUUGGAAAGUUUCGGCGGUUGGGGAUGGACUCGCGGCUUAUCAGCUUGUUGGUGGGGUAGUGGCUUACCAAGGCUUUGACGGGUAGCCGGCCUGAGAGGGUGACCGGCCACAUUGGGACUGAGAUACGGCACAGACUCCUACGGGAGGCAGCAGUGGGGAAUAUUGCACAAUGGGCGGAAGCCUGAUGCAGCAACGCCGCGUGCGGGAUGACGGCCUUCGGGUUGUAAACCGCUUUCGCCUGUGACGAAGCGUGAGUGACGGUAAUGGGUAAAGAAGCACCGGCUAACUACG